UUCUGGUUGAUCCUGCCGGAGGCUACCGCUAUUGGAGUUCGAUUAAGCCAUGCGAGUCGAGAGUCUUAGGGACUCGGCGUACCGCUCAGUAACACGUGGGUAACCUGCCCUAUGCUGGGGAAUAACCUCGGGAAACUGAGAAUAAUACCCCAUAGUUCACCACGCCUGGAACGGUGGGUGGAUGAAAGCUCCGGCGGCAUAGGAUGGGCCUGCGACGUAUCAGGUUGUAGGGGGUGUAACGUACCCUCUAGCCAUCAACGCGUACGGGUGUUGGGAGACAUAGCCCGGAGAUGGAUUCUGAGACACGAAUCCAGACCCUACGGGGUGCAGCAGGCGCGAAAACUUGGCAAUGCGAGCAAUCGUGACCAGGGAACUCCAAGUGGCUGGGGUAAUACCCAGUUUUUUCUUGACUCUUCAAAGGUCUUGGAAUAAGGGGUGGGUAAGGACGGUGCCAGCCGCCGCGGUAAUACCGGCGCCUCAAGUGGUAGUCGCUUUUAUUGGGCCUAAAACGUCCGUAGCCGGUCUGGUGCAUUCGUGGGUAAAUCAACCCGCUCAACGGGUUGAAUUCUGCGAGCACGGCCAGACUUGGGACCGGGAGAGGUGUGGGGGUACUCUCAGGGUAGGGGUAAAAUCCUGUCAUCCUGAGAGGACC
RNAcentral lists this ribosomal RNA (652 nucleotides) under uncultured Candidatus Poseidoniales archaeon. RNAcentral describes it as "bacterial SSU rRNA". It matches the Rfam family "Archaeal small subunit ribosomal RNA", at positions 1 to 658 of the family's 1478-position model. Lineage: Archaea; Methanobacteriati; Thermoplasmatota; Candidatus Poseidoniia; Candidatus Poseidoniales. The record is from RNAcentral.